AUAAUACUCCAUAGAUUAGAGACACUGGAAUGUUCUGUAGUCGAAAGUUCUGGCGCCUUAGGAUGGAUCUGCGGUCGAUUAGGUUGUUGUUGGGGUAACGGCCCAACAAGCCUGUAAUCGAUACGGGUUUGUGGGAGCAAGAGCCCGGAGAUGGAAUCUGAGACACGAUUCCAGGCCCUACGGGGCGCAGCAGGCGCGAAAACUUUACAAUGCAGGAAACUGUGAUAAGGGAACUCCGAGUGCCCGUAUACGCGGGCUGUCCAGGUGUUUAAAAAUCAUCUGAAGAAAGGGCCGGGCAAGACCGGUGCCAGCCGCCGCGGUAAUACCGGCGGCUCGAGUGGUGGCCACUAUUAUUGGGCUUAAAGCGUCCGUAGCUGGACCGAUAAGUCUCUUGGGAAAUCCGCCGGCUCAACCGGCGGGCGUCUAAGGGAUACUGUUAGUCUAGGGACCGGGAGAGGUGAGAGGUACUCCGGGGGUAGGAGUGAAAUCCUGUAAUCCCCGGGGGACCACCGAUGGCGAAGGCAUCUCACCAGAACGGCUCCGACAGUGAGGGACGAAAGCUGGGGGAGCGAACCGGAUUAGAUACCCGGGUAGUCCCAGCCGUAAACUAUGCGCGUUAGGUGU
RNAcentral lists this ribosomal RNA (624 nucleotides) under uncultured archaeon. RNAcentral's name for it is "bacterial SSU rRNA". It matches the Rfam family "Archaeal small subunit ribosomal RNA", at positions 146 to 774 of the family's 1478-position model. The record is from RNAcentral.